AUUGAACGCUGGCGGCAUGCCUUACACAUGCAAGUCGAACGGCAGCACGGGAGCAAUCCUGGUGGCGAGUGGCGAACGGGCGAGUAAUGUAUCGGAACGUGCCCAGUCGUGGGGGAUAACGUAGCGAAAGCUACGCUAAUACCGCAUACGAUCUAUGGAUGAAAGCGGGGGAUCGCAAGACCUCGCGCGAUUGGAGCGGCCGAUAUCAGAUUAGGUAGUUGGUGGGGUAAAGGCUCACCAAGCCGACGAUCUGUAGCUGGUCUGAGAGGACGACCAGCCACACUGGGACUGAGACACGGCCCAGACUCCUACGGGAGGCAGCAGUGGGGAAUUUUGGACAAUGGGCGCAAGCCUGAUCCAGCAAUGCCGCGUGCAGGAUGAAGGCCUUCGGGUUGUAAACUGCUUUUGUACGGAACGAAACGGCGAGCUCUAAUACAGUUUGCUAAUGACGGUACCGUAAGAAUGAGCACCGGCUAACUACGUGCCAGCAGCCGCCGUAA
This 500-nucleotide ribosomal RNA is filed under the name uncultured bacterium. Its description in RNAcentral is "partial 16S ribosomal RNA". It matches the Rfam family "Bacterial small subunit ribosomal RNA", at positions 30 to 523 of the family's 1533-position model. The record is from RNAcentral.